This 221-nucleotide unclassified non-coding RNA is filed under the name uncultured Cladosporium. RNAcentral's name for it is "sequence contains ITS1". The stretch from base 173 to 221 matches the Rfam family "5.8S ribosomal RNA", at positions 1 to 49 of the family's 154-position model. Lineage: Eukaryota; Fungi; Ascomycota; Dothideomycetes; Cladosporiales; Cladosporiaceae. The record is from RNAcentral.
UGCGGGGGGAUCAUUACAAGUGACCCCGGUCUAACCACCGGGAUGUUCAUAACCCUUUGUUGUCCGACUCUGUUGCCUCCGGGGCGACCCUGCCUUCGGGCGGGGGCUCCGGGUGGACACUUCAAACUCUUGCGUAACUUUGCAGUCUGAGUAAACUUAAUUAAUAAAUGGGAACUUUUAACAACGGAUCUCUUGGUUCUGGCAUCGAUGAAGAGGGCAGC